ACAACUGCAGCGAGAGAAGAGGCUGGCAGCAUGGGUGGCAGGNNGCUUGGCAGCCUCACAGGAUGCCUGCAAAUACCUUUCACUUAUGCAGUUUGGCAGUGCAGUGGUGCAUGGAGACAGCGUCUUGGGCCUGUACAGAAGCUUCUAUUCUGGAAUAGAACAGCUAGCAUACUACCAAGACUUUUCAAGGAGCAAGAAUGGAGCUCCCUGGAGAACUGACUGAACAUGGCUUCAGAGGCAGUAUCCAUAGACAUAGAGACAAAAAGUGCCCUCACUUUUACUGUGUUUUGACCUGGACCAGUCUACAUUUAUAUGAAUAGCUACAAAGCANNNUUUCACCACAAGGCUGUAGGGUCACAUUUCAAAGGCCAGAUCUUUCCCAGGGCUUAAGCUGUUCCUUGGAUACUUUUACUGAUGGUUUACACAUCUUCUUCCCACAUUAUAUUGUAACUUUCUU
Molecule: non-coding RNA, 457 nt
Filed under: Homo sapiens (human)
Lineage: Eukaryota; Metazoa; Chordata; Mammalia; Primates; Hominidae
Source: RNAcentral